RNAcentral lists this long non-coding RNA (1008 nucleotides) under Chloebia gouldiae (Gouldian finch). RNAcentral describes it as "Erythrura gouldiae (Gouldian finch) lncRNA (ENSEGOG00005002997.1)". The record is from RNAcentral. Lineage: Eukaryota; Metazoa; Chordata; Aves; Passeriformes; Passeridae.
GCAUAAACAGCUGAGGAAGCCCUGCUGCUCACUCACACACAGAGCCUUUGGUGGGUGCUCAGUCCUCAGGAGGACCGGUUUUGAUGACCUAGUCUGAUUACAGCAUCUUUGACAGCUUUAAAGGAAUUUGCCCUGGGGAAGAAGACAGCUGCUGCCCUGAUGAAGGAUUUUUCUGAGCAGGCCUCCCAAGCCAGACAUGUCAGUGUGAGAUGCUGCCUACAUUUUUCAUCAUGACCAACAGGACACAGCAGAGAGGAGAUUUUGGAAGCAUUUCACAAGGCUUGCAGCUCUGAGCUGGUUUCAGCAUGAGGAAAAGCCCUCCAUCACCCCAAUGCACAGGAAAGAGAAGACAGAUGACAGCAGCUAUCCUCCUUCCAUACUGAGGAAAAGGCCACCUGUGGACCAAGCUGUGGGGGAAAAGCGGAGAGCAGAGAGAAGGGUUCGAUUUCGUGAGCCAGAAGAAGUCAUUGAACAUGUAAUUUCCUGCUGUGACUACGUAGUGGCAGAUGACAGGACAUCAUCUGGAUUGCCUGUGCUCCUGUGGCUCUUGUUUUGUGCAGUGCUGAUCCUUGCUGUGAGUCUCUACUACACCAGCAUGAAGCAAAAUGUCACAGUCCUGGAGGAAUUUCAAUCCCGACUUGUCAUCUUCUUUCUUCAUAUAAGACAUGUUGCUCAGAGGUGCUGGACUUGGUUUCUGAGGCAGUAGCAGUGUCCUCCAGCCUGACACUGCUAAGAAACAUCAGUGCAAAGCUCCCAGCCUACUGCAGCCACAUGCAAGGAACACAUGAGCAUCCACCUCAAAGAGCAAGAAAAUCACCCCUGCUGUGCACCAUCCAGAAAACACUUGUUCUCCUUUUUCCUUCUUUGCUGUUUUCCUUUGUUUCACAUCAAUGAACAUUCAAACUAAUGCCUUGAGGUCCCACCAAACUCAGGCACCAUCACCCUGAACAUCAAACAAGUAUCUAGAUUUUGUUACCCAGAAUUAAUAAACUGCUGAUAUGAGGAACA